UACGAGGGGGGCGAGCGUUGUUCGGAAUUAUUGGGCGUAAAGGGUGCGUAGGCGGUUUGGUAAGUCUGAUGUGAAAUCUAUGGGCUCAACUCAUAGUCUGCAUCGGAAAACUGCCGGGGCUUGAGUAUGGGGAGAGGUGAGUGGAAAUUCCUGGUGUAGCGGUGAAAAUGCGUAGAUAUCAGGAGGAACACCUGUGGCGAAAAGCGGCUCACUGGACCAUAAACUGACGCUGAUGCACGAAAAGCUAGGGGGAGCAAAAC
RNAcentral lists this ribosomal RNA (260 nucleotides) under uncultured bacterium. RNAcentral's name for it is "partial 16S ribosomal RNA". It matches the Rfam family "Bacterial small subunit ribosomal RNA", at positions 524 to 774 of the family's 1533-position model. The record is from RNAcentral.